Molecule: unclassified non-coding RNA, 359 nt
Filed under: soil metagenome
Description: partial contains 5.8S ribosomal RNA, internal transcribed spacer 2, and large subunit ribosomal RNA
Rfam family: 5.8S ribosomal RNA (bases 1-120)
Source: RNAcentral
GAUGAAGAACGUAGCGAAAUGCGAUAAGUAAUGUGAAUUGCAGAAUUCAGUGAAUCAUCGAAUCUUUGAACGCACAUUGCGCCCGUCAGUAUUCUGGCGGGCAUGCCUGUUCGAGCGUCAUUACGCCCCUCAAGUCCCCUGUGGACUUGGUGUUGGGGAUCGGCGAGGCUGGUUUUCCAGCACAGCCGUCCCUUAAAUUAAUUGGCGGUCUCGCCGUGGCCCUCCUCUGCGCAGUAGUAAAACACUCGCAACAGGAGCCCGGCGCGGUCCACUGCCGUAAAACCCCCCAACUUUUUAUAGUUGACCUCGAAUCAGGUAGGACUACCCGCUGAACUUAAGCAUAUCAAUUAAGCGGAGGA